RNAcentral lists this ribosomal RNA (492 nucleotides) under uncultured bacterium. RNAcentral's name for it is "partial 16S ribosomal RNA". It matches the Rfam family "Bacterial small subunit ribosomal RNA", at positions 29 to 507 of the family's 1533-position model. The record is from RNAcentral.
AGUGAACGCUGGCGGUAGGCCUAAUACAUGCAAGUCGAACGGAAGCACAGUAAGCGCUUGCCCUUACGGGUGGCGAGUGGCGGGCGGGUGAGGAAUAGAUCGGAAUCUACUUUUUCGUGGGGGAUUACGGAGGGCCACUGACGCUAAUACCGCAUACGACCUACGGGUGAAUUCAGUGGAUCUUCGGAGCUUGCGUGUCUCAUUGAGCCGAUGCCGCAUUAGCUAGUUGGCGUGGUAAGGGCUCACCAAGGCAACGAUGCGUAGCUGAUCUGAGAGGAUGAUCGGCCACACUGGAACUGAGACACGGUCCAGACUCCUACGGGAGGCAGCAGUAGGGAAUAUUCCGCAAUGGGCGCAAGCCUGACGGAGCCACGCCGCGUGAGUGAUGAAGGUCUUCGGAUCGUAAAACUCUGUUAUUAGGGAAGAACAACUGUGUAAGUAACUAUGGACGUCUUGACGGUACCUAAACAGAAAGCAACGGCUAACUACGUG